RNAcentral lists this long non-coding RNA (2440 nucleotides) under Theobroma cacao (cacao). RNAcentral describes it as "long non-coding RNA (TCAC_LNC005520)". The record is from RNAcentral. Lineage: Eukaryota; Viridiplantae; Streptophyta; Magnoliopsida; Malvales; Malvaceae.
UUAAACCUACCGAGCAAUGUAUAGGGAGGAGCACCUCGUCCUAGGAUCCAAUCACUUUUAACUCAGAAAACCUAAAACAUGAAUUUAAAAAAAAACGUGAGUACAAACUCAAUGAGUGAACAUAGAAAGGGACUAAGCAACGUUAAGGAAGGUUUAAAAAUCAUGAUACACAUCUUUGAAAACAAUGGAAUUUAGUUUACCUCUUACCAAAACCCCUCAUUUAAACCCCAAAUGAGUAAAUCACUUGAUAAAAAGGGUCCAUGCUCAACAAAGGAUUUGAAGAGUGAAAACUUUAAUAGCAUUUGUGCAAUUCAAGUCAAGUAAACGAUGGGUCCUCGCUGCAGCAGAAAGGUAUUCUCGCUGCAGCGAGAUUCCUACUAGCAUUACCCCUCCAAAUCCGAGAGUUUCUCACUGUAGUGAGAAUGAAUCUCGCAGCAGCGAGAAACAGAGCACCAUGAAAAAGUUUCUUUUCUUUCAAGAAAAAGCCAUCUUGCUAAAAUGACAAAAAAAUCAACAUGAAACACAUAAUAAUUCCCAAAGUUCAACAUGCAAGAUUCACAUGUGCAACACCAUAUACCAUACUCAUGAACUUUCGAUAACACACAUAUCUAUAUAUGUAUAUAUAUUUAUGUAUAUAUGUAUAUGUAUAUGUAUAUAUGUAUAUGUAUAUGUAUAUAUGUAUAUGUAUAUGUAUAUAUAUAUGUAUAUAUAUAUAUAUAUAUAUAUAUAUAUCCAUCACCAUACACACCCUCCCAUCAUUGUCAUAUACACUCCCACUAGCACAUGGCUGGGUCAGCAUCAGCUUAUGCGCACUCCGACUUGCACAUAACCGGGUCAGCAUCAGCUUAUGCGCACUCCCCCUCACACAUAGUCGGGUCAGAAUCGGCUUAUACGCACUCCCCCCCGCACAUAACCGGGUCAGUAUUAGCUUAUGCACACUCCUACUCGCACAUAGCCGGGUCAAUAUCAUUACACAAUAUUAUUCAUAUACACACACACACACAUAUGUAUAUAUAUCAACAUCGUAUAUGAGCACAUAAGUUCGUCCUAUUACACAUUUCACAUUUUCACAACGUUUAAAAUAUUUUAUCAAAGGCUUGUUCCCAAGGCACACGUUUUUAAAGACAAGUUGGAAUAAAUCAUUCAAUGUUUCAUAGCAAUACAAUUAUGUCUCCCAAAACGAUUUUGAAAUGCAAGUUCAGUCACCUUACGAUAGAGGGAUAUUACAUCGCUAUUUGAUCGAAAGUGUCUUUAAUUAGUUUCACUGGCCGGUCGCUCGAUGUUUACUCUAGCACGCCACCACAAUACUCUAACCUUAUCUUUGCACUUCUUAACAAUAAUACGAACUCAAUAUAUUUAAUUAUAUACGUAUACGGGCAGCACUUUAAUCAAUUAAUCCUUACUCAAAUUUAUAUUUUUCAUCCUAUCAUGAAACCAUCUUCAAUUAACUCACAUCUUAAUACACUUUUUGCUAACAUUACUUAUAUCCAUUGCUUACGAAAUUCCUUAAAUUAUAUCACCGGUAACUUAAUUAUGAUGUCACGGGUCUACUUCAACCUUUCUAAAUAAUUUCCACUCAAAUCCAUCUCCACACAUAAUCCACAUAUAUGGCAACAACAAUCAUUCUCACUUUCACUCGAUUAUUUCCUACUUACACGCAUCGUUAUCUGUCUAACUUUCAAUACUUUGUUUCUCAAUCCUCCAUCCACAAUAUUCCUUUUUCAUUUCUUUCAAACAACAUGCGAUACAAUCUUAAUAAUUUUCAACUAGCUUAGGCAAAUAGAUCCUUUCAACAACCGUAAUUCCUCACAAUAUUCAACUAACCGAAGGCUUUAAAACAUAGUGUUAAGCUUAUCGUUUUCCUUUUCCACUUUGAGUCCUUCAUGUACCCAUGGGUUUAUUGGCUUACAUGUUACCAAUUUUUCUCCAAUCAAGCCAAUCUUUGCUGCCACAAAACAUUUCUCUAAGUCAUUAACUCAAUUUCAAAGACUACUCAAGCCAAAAACAAGAAUUCUUACCGUUACUUGCUUAAUCACCAAAACCAAGCUUUUUCUUCCUUUCUCUCUUUUUCUUUCUUCUCCUCCUAGGGUUUAUAUGUGCUGAAAAUUGGGGUUAAAGGCUGUAAAUUUAGUGCUCAAGAAGUUUGGAGAAGAAAGGAAAAGAAAACAUGGAAAGGAAAGUGAAGAAAACUUGAUUUCAUGGUGGAUAAAGAGAAAAUGGCAUGGAAGCUUCAAGAAUGGCGUGGAGCAUGGAGGAGAAGAGGAAAAAUGUUGCUGGAGGAGAUAAGAACAGUUUUGGGCUGAAAAAAAUCAGAGUCAAAGCUUCCUUUGGAAGCUUUGACCAAACUUCACGUAAAAUUAUCAUUUUGCCCUUUUUGUUUCUUUCCAUUUUAAUUUAGUCCUCCCAACACUCAUUUAACUCCAACUUCCUUCUAUUAUCU